UUGGCGUACCUGUCAUAAUAAUGAGGUUUGCGCAAUCUUCCCCAAAGCCACCCCAAAAUAUUGAUUGCUCAGUCUGUUCAGUCUUAUGUCAUCCACGAGUCGAAUGAGUAGUUUGAGUUUUAUCCAUUGUUGUAGGUCAGGAAAAUUGAUGAUCUUACUAGUUACAGAAAAUGAAACCACAGGUUAUGCCAUAUAUAAUGAGUGGAGAAACAAAGAAGAUUACUAAAGGACAAAUGAGUGAUCAAGAUGACAAAACUUGAAGCUGACAUGAACCAGGAACCAACUUGUGAAAGCUAUCGACGAUGGAGUGAAGGAGAUUCCUUUGAUUUAGUAGAUUCUUGAAGCUAAAUAAUUCCACAAGUUAACCUGAAUAAAAAUAGAACCUGAAAUAAACAAGGAACGAAACUUUUAGAGGUAUUAACGUUUUGUUCAAAAAAAGGACUAAUUAUGACAGUUUACCACAGCCAUUUUCAUACGAAGAUUAACCUGAUUCUUUUUGAGAAACAAGAUAAAAAGGAAUGGAAUUGAAUCUCAACAACUGCUAUACUAUACACGUUGAAUGUGUUGAUAAUUGUAAUAAUUACUUAAAAUAGGUAAUAUUUUAAGUAACAUUAAGAUUCCUGAGAUGUGUAAUGAUGUAUUAUACUAUACCAUUGUCAAAUAAUAAGGUUUAUUACCUGCUGCCCUUUGAAUGUUGGGGUAUAUUAAUUUGACAAUUAAUUACUUAUUCAUUGGUGCUGUUGUUUCUAACGUCACCACUUAAAAUCGAUUAUUUAUACCAAUAUAUAUGAACUGUAGGUGGAUUGUUAGAGGUUCAUCUUUACCUAAGUCAUUCUCUUGUCCAAAUUUUUUGGAUAUGUAAUAAUUGUAAGACGAUUCUUAUGGCAACGUUUCUUUAACACUUGUGUCAUUUUCUCGUUUUGAUGGGUAUUAAACACAUAUCUCAUCAACUGUUGUACGUACAACCUUCUUUCCUGCUUCAAUCCUCGUAAAUUCCCUUCUUAGGUAAACUUGGAAUUUUAAUGUCUUUUCUUUUGUUUGUCUUGAGGAACAUCUUUAAAUUAUUCAAUUGCUGCUAAAAGUUCCUUUACCAAUUUGGCAAUUAUUGUGAAUUUGUAGAUGAGUCCGACCAUUUGAGGUAAUUUAACAGUUACAACAAACAU
Long non-coding RNA from Aethina tumida (small hive beetle), 1163 nucleotides. RefSeq lists it as uncharacterized. The transcript is spliced from 4 exons. The record is from RefSeq and is a predicted model, not a curated record. NCBI's taxonomy places the organism in Eukaryota, Metazoa, Arthropoda, Insecta, Coleoptera, Nitidulidae.